Molecule: RNA transcript, 2732 nt
Organism: Larimichthys crocea (large yellow croaker)
Lineage: Eukaryota; Metazoa; Chordata; Actinopteri; Sciaenidae
Gene: tfcp2l1
Gene name: transcription factor CP2-like 1
Exons: 14
Source: RefSeq, a predicted model, not a curated record
CCAAACCUGUGGCUGUUCUCAUGUUUGUUUUCCAAAAGCGACCUCCAAACAUCAUUACCCUAAGUGAGUUUAAAGUCGAGCUUUAGAGCCAAACUGUUAGCAGUGUCAACAACUGUUCAAGUGAAGCUGCUAUUAAUGCAUCAACCCAGCUAGAUAUUGGUAGUGGGGGGUGUGCCCGCACACUCCGCCUCUCAAAGGUCAUACAAGGUAUGCUAAUGGGACUGCUGAUGACAUCACCGGGACAAUAUAAAAGACAGGCAAUGAGGUUUGGCUGCAAAACCGCUCUUGAGCUGAAAUCAGCAGGAAAACCAGCAGCUGCAAAACACUAGAUUUCGACUGUCUCCACGUCUUCCCUGUGGUCCUGGGAUAGAAGAGGACACUGCACUGGAAAAUAUGCUGUUCUGCCAUUCCCAGCCUGAAUCCUACCACCAGCACUCUGCUAGUUACAUUAGGGAUUCGAUAAAAGAGAAGAGGACAGUCACCUUUGUCAUCCCAGCACUCAGCCCUUCUUCUUUCCUUCUGGGUCUCUUUCAGAGAGGCCUUGGCACCUUUCUUGAAAAACGAAGAAGCCAGGCUUAUGGCCGAAAUUGGUGCCAGGAGGACCCCGUUCCAGUAUAUUCUGUGUGCAGCCACCUCGCCGGCUGUGAAACAGCAGGACGAGAGUCUCACUUAUCUCAACCAAGGUCAGUCCUACGAAAUCCGUAUGCUUAACAGAAAACUAGUGGAGUAUACAGAUAUAAGCAGCAAAUAUGUAAAGAGCAUUGUGCGCGUGGUGUUUCAUGAUCGUCGACUGCAGUAUAUGGAGCACCAGCAGCUGGAGGGAUGGAGGUGGAACAGACCUGGAGACCGAAUCCUGGAUAUUGAUAUCCCGUUGUCAGUGGGAAUAUUGGAGCCCCGUUCUCAUCCUCUGCACCUCAACACCAUUGAGUUCCUCUGGGAUCCUGUCAAAAAUGCAUCUGUUUUCAUCCAGGUCAACUGCAUCAGCACUGAGUUUACCCUGAAGAAGCAUGGAGGAGAGAAAGGAGUGCCAUUUCGUAUCCUGGUGGACACUUUCACCACCAAUGAACAUGGGGAAUACAUGGAGCAUGUGCAUUCCUCCAGCUGCCAGGUCAAAGUCUUCAAACCUAAAGGGGCAGAUCGCAAACUGAAGACAGACAGGGAAAAGAUUGAUAAAAAGGCCCUUCAAGACAGAGAGAAGUAUCAACCGUCCCAUGACACCACCCUGCUAAAAGAGUGUUCCCCUUGGCCUGAUGCCCUCAAUCUCACCAUCCACAGCAGCAGCAGCAGUAGCAACACUCCGUCAUCAGUUUACCACAGUUCACCAACUUCCUGUAAUUUCACAGAUGGCAACUGUUCUCCAAACCAGCAAGGGGAUCUGCCCAUGCCCAGCUGCUCUGAUCACCUUCUGCCAUUGUCCACGCCGCAGGACACUCAGCAGUGGCUGCACCGUCACAGGUUCUCACCUUUCUCAAGGCUCUUCUCCAGCUUCUCAGGUGCUGAUCUGUUAAGGAUGAGCAGGGAGGAUCUGAUCCAGGUCUGCGGCCCAGCAGACGGUAUUCGUCUCUUUAACACCAUGAAAGGAAGGUGUAUUCAGCCCCGUCUUACCAUCUAUGUGUGUCAGCAGCAGGCCAGACAUCAACCUCCCAUCAAGCCAGGGGGUGGAGACAUAUACCACGCUCUGUACCUGGAGGAGCUGACGCUGUUGGACCUGUCUGAAAAGAUCGCUCUGUUGUACAGCAUCACUCCACAGCAAAUUACACACAUCUACAGACAAAAAUCCAACGGGAUCCAUGUCUUAGUCUCUGAUGAGGUAUCCUUACAUCCGGCCUGGUAUCACCAAAUUGCGUAUGAACAUUUUGUAACCAUGCACCCAGAUCAGGUACAUCUGCCAGGCUACACAUACUAGUUGUCCACCGGAACAAUAAACAAAAAUCUUCUCACUAUAUAUUUCUAGGCUGGCAAAAACUGAUAUUAACACCAGUGAAAUGACGAUGAGCUACAGGUGGAUUUUCAUAUGCAGCAUCUUGGAAAUGUACACAUCGGUCGAUUUGUUUGUUUCAGAUGGUGCAGAACUUCAGAGAGGAAACAAGUUUCAUCCUCAGCACUAUACGGGAUGAAAACACAGACGGAUACCACGUUGUGUUGAAAUGACCGACAUACUCUGGAGGUUCAAAGUUUCACGAGUGGAAUUGUACAGAUUUUAUAUAAAUCCUUCUAGACAUGUGACAUUUACUUUUACAUUUAGAUUUACAGUCGAGUAUAAUGCUGUUAAGCUUUCAAUUGUUGACUUUGAGGUUUUGUUUAGUUUUCUUUAAUUUUCCUAUUUUCCUAUUUUAUUUGAACUUUUGUUUAGUUACUGAUUCAUGUUUGAUAUGCCUUGUAAUUAGUGGUAAACAGUGGCCUGCAAGUUAAUGACUUUCAUGAUAAUAAAGCAAAGUAAAUGCCACACAUCAUCAUAUUGACAGAGAGUAAAGACAAAUGAACAAAACUUUACGUUAAUGCAAUGUAAUUGUUAUGCUUGUCCUGAAUAUGAAAUGCUAUGAUGUAGCCUGUCUUGCAUAUGCCAUACAGCCUAUUUCCUUGAUGACGUGUAAUGUUAAAUUUGGUAAAGUUGAGGUAUUUAUGCACAUAGACCUAUGGCAUGUUUAAACAGAGACAUUGUGUUGCAGUUCUGAGGAUGAUUUUGACUGUCUGGGCUCUAUAAGGAGUCUAUUAUGUUCCAAAUAAAGUAU